GUAUCUUCCUGGUCUUUUGGCUAAGAUCAAGUGUAGUAUCUGCUCUUAUCUGUUUAAUAUCUGAUAUGUCUUCUAACUGAGGAAAAUGUACUCUAUGGAUUUUUGGAGCAGGGAGUUGGAAUAGGAGCUUGCUCUGUCCACUCCAUGCAUCGACCUAGUAUUGCAGUACCUCCAGAAACUGAAAAAAAAAA
Molecule: small nuclear RNA, 191 nt
Organism: Bos taurus (domestic cattle)
Lineage: Eukaryota; Metazoa; Chordata; Mammalia; Artiodactyla; Bovidae
Gene: U2
Rfam family: U2 spliceosomal RNA
About the family: U2 is a small nuclear RNA (snRNA) component of the spliceosome (involved in pre-mRNA splicing). Complementary binding between U2 snRNA (in an area lying towards the 5' end but 3' to hairpin I) and the branchpoint sequence (BPS) of the intron results the bulging out of an unpaired adenosine, on the BPS, which initiates a nucleophilic attack at the intronic 5' splice site, thus starting the first of two transesterification reactions that mediate splicing.
Source: Ensembl